UACAUCGCGUGCCUAUUGAUGAUAGAAUAAAAUAAUGUCCUACGACUUUGUAGAACACAUUUUUAUUUAGAAAAAGUGACGCGACAGCAUAUGUCUAAACAUUACAGUUAUGCCGCAAUAAGUGUUCUUUCUUUUUAAAAAAUAAAAUAAUGUCAAAUAUCGUUAAAAUUUUUGUUAAAAUCCAAGCCAAAUUUCCAAGCGGAGCCGGAGAGGGCCGCUAGUCUAAAAUAAAAGCGAAAACAUCGACAAUGCUGGGAGUAGGAACCAAAUCACUGCUCACUCUUUAAGAUGCUAUUUAAAGCUCCUAAUAAGAAGGGGGAAUAGGACUGCUGAAACAAUCUGAAGCAGAGACUUGUGGCACGAACACAAAGAAAGAAAUUGAUAGAGACGACUAGUUAACUAUAAUGAUUAUGGAUUAAAAAUCAUAUCUCCAAAAAUAUCUGUAUUUCAAAUUGCCACAGAACCUACUGUUAGACAUAUAAGCCAUACUAUGGUUCAAAAGCACGCAAAAAUAACUAUAAUUUUAUAAAAUGUAAUUAAAGUAAAUUUAACGAAAUAGGUAAUAAAAUUCAAAAAUCGUUCCAUGACGCAAUAAAUUUUUGAAUUUGUUAAAGAAUAUUUUAAUGUUUAUUAAAUGUAAUAAAGCGAUGAGAUUUGCCCUGUAAAGUUAUGUGUCAGUCAGUGCACUUUUAUUUUGUUAUUGUAUCGCAUAUAUAUAGAGUAUUCAUGCAUUUAGAUAGCUUCAAUGACCUCAACGCCUCGUGGUUCAAACUGAAAAUAAUGAUAACCAUAUUGAAAUUAAACAUAAAAUUCAGUGAAUUCGACUUAGAGCAAUUAAGAGAAACUAUACAAUAAUAUUGUAUUUAUAUCGCAAAGCUGCCAGAAAUUUUAGCGCUAGUUUAUUUGUGAUAGCUAAAAACAUAUCUAUCACAAAUAAACGCCACCGCGCAGCGCCUCGCGCGCUUUUCUCAAGACGUAGUCUCUCGGCAGGAAUUGGAAGAAGAGGAGGACCACGGUCUUCCUCUCUGGAGGCGCUGGAGUCCGAUAUAACCCGGUUUGUUACCCCUUCGAUGGGGUUUCAAUUAACGGAUUUCUCAGGGCUAAUAAAAAUAAAUAAUAGCUUAAAAAAACUAACAAAAUACACUUUUAUAGAAAAUCCAACUAAAAGAAAAUUGAAAAAAUUUAAAUUCCACUAAAAAUGAAAAAUAAAUAAUCAUUUAAAAAAACUAACAAAAUACGCUUUUAUAGAAAAUCCAACUAAUUUUUUAUUAUUAUUUUUCAUUUAUUAUUUUUUCAAUUUUUAUUUUAAUGUUGAAUUGUCAUCGGUCCUUAAUAAGAAUACCAAAUUUCGAGUUAAUUCGACGUUUUGAAGGGGGUCAAAAUCAUGUUCAAAGAUUCCGUUACAAACAUACAUACCUUUUUUUUUUUUUAUUGCCCUUGUAGGCAGACGAGCAUACGGCCCACCUGAUGGUGAGUGGUUACCGUCGCCCAUGGACUUCAGCAAUGCCAGGGGCAGAGCCAAGCCGCUGCCUACCGUUUAAUACUCUCCACAAGCCUCGUUUGAAGAAGGACAUGUCAUAGCGCUCGGGAAACACCGUGGAGGGGAGCUCAUUCCAUAGUCGAAUGGUACGUGGAAAAAAAGACCUCUGGAAACGCACUGUGGAUGACCGCAGUUGCUCCAGGUAGUAUGGAUGAACUCUACUCCGGUGGCGGGCGGUGCGAUGGUAAAAACGAGAUGCUGGUAUCAUCUCGAACAAUUGCUCAGAGCACUCCCCAUGAAACAUACGGUACAAAACACAGAGAAAAGUGAAGUCCCUCCGCAGACCCAGAGGUUCCAAACGAUCCGUGAGAAUGGGAUUAUCGACAAUCCGAACGGCCCUCCUCUGUAUGGAGUCAAUUGGAAGAAGCUGGUAUUUGAGAGCCCCGGCCCAGAGAUAAAACUAGCUAAAACACGGUUUACAAAGUUGUUGAUAGUUAUUUUAUAGAACAGGGUGUUUCUACCAAGUUGGCGUGCAAAUAUUAUUCAAAAUUAUUUACAUUAAACGCAGUCAGUAAAUUAAAUAUUAAUUGAUUAAAAUAUCAAACAACAAAAUAAAUUAAUUGAAUAAGAAAUAGUUAUUUAUGUCAUAAAACGAAAACAAAGAACAGAAGGAAGCGAAUUUAAAAUUAACAUAAUGAUUUAUCAUUAAAAAAAUCGUUAACUGUAUAACUGUAUACAUCUUAAGGUUAAUAAUUUUUUCAAGUUCUUUUUAAAUAAAAAUAAUUAGUCUUUUUUUUUUAUAAAGAACUUAUACUUUUUUAUACAGAACCAUUUACUUGUAACUCACAGUACAAUGUCAGUUUUGUCUUUGAUUUCACUAAGCAAAACGAAAUCUCGAUAAACCGAGGGUCGAGAUCCGAAUUCACUCGUUUUGACAUUGCGCUCUCUGGUCACGCAGCUAUCAUUUAUCUGUCUACUGUCAUUUUAAUGUUAUAGUAAUUGUUUAUAAUAAUAUUAUCAUAUCACGUUUUGGACAAUGAUAUCAGUGCUACAUUGUAUUGAGUUGUUAUAAAUUUCAGCUGCUUCUAGUUGUUGUUAAAUCAUCAAACUCUGCAAAUGAUUUUGUUUUGUCACGUGGAAGGAAAGAGAAGUCGAGGAAGAUUGCCAACCAGGUGGACGGACAUUAUCAAGGAGGCCACAAACACCAGCGUCCCGGGCGCCAUUAAGCAGGCCGAAUGCAGGCAACAUUGGAGGAAGCUGGUGCAAAAAUUGGACCAAGGCGGUCACGACCCUCAGUAAUGAGGAAACGACAAAGAAGAAGAAGAAAUGAAAUAUAUUGUUUUAAAUACAUUUAUUGUUUUAAUAUUGAACGUGUUGCAUCGCAAUAAUUACAAAACUAUUUUCUACCCUUUCAGAUACUGAGAACUCAUUCAAUGGCCGAACAAUUUACUCGAGCAUACUUUAAAGUUCAAUCUCAAAAUGAAUAUUCUCAGUAAAGAAACAGCAAUAACAGCAAACAUUUAAUUAACCGCCACAUUGGCAAACGCAGAAAGCAAUUCCACAGAACGUAAUAUUUUCAAGAAAACGAUUGAGACUCGAGAAAUUGCCCACUUAGAAGUCAUCGGUUGAUAUUAAUAAUUAGAUGGAGCAAAGCCGCGGAAACGUCAAGUUAAUUAAACUUUUGUCUUUCUAGCUGUGAAGGGAAACGUCGGGGUUUGCAUGUCAAGUGCUCUUCGCGUUGGUCGUACUUCCUUGAAAAUCAGAGGCACGUUCUGUUGACAUGAGAUCCUUAAAAAUGAUUGUGAUAAGUUGUCUCCAUUUUUUUAUGCCUAUAUAGAUGAAUGAGCUCACAGCCCACCUGGCGACAUCAGGCAAAAAAACUUCAUUUUUAAUCUGGUUGGAGCCUUUAAAUGGGUCUUUUUAGCAAAACGAACGAUUAGCGUAUCUUCUCUGGGAGAGGUUUUUCUUGGUCGAGCCUUUCUAACAGCAUUUUCAACAGUUCCCUGUGUUUUAUAAUCAACUGCAUGAAAAACUUUCUUAACAGAACAAUUUAAAUGCUCAGCUAUUCUUCUGUACGCCCACUUAUGAUCUAUAUGUAAAUUAACAAUUAUUUGCCUCGUUGACGCAUCACAACUUUUAAGCAAUUGAAUAGCUUUUAUCGCGGGCUUUGAGCGCGGCGACCGAAUCGCGAAAUUUAGUAACGAAAAUAAAACCUAACACCCCCCCACUCCGCCUACCAUGUAGCUCGCGUUCAACACAUUCACACUUUGCGCUUGUGUAGUGUUUGUGAAUAAGGGCGCGGCGUGACGUCGCACUGCAUGCGCAUCAUGAAGUCUGUUCAAUUCUCUCUCGCGCGGUCUAGCUUAUGAGUGUGAAGGGGACAAUUGAGUCGUCUAUUAUCAAAGGCGGCAAUCUGUGCAUUUGGACAACAAAAUUUUAUUGAUAUGUCAAUACAGAUUUAUUUGAAUAUAAUCGUCUCCUUCAAAGAAUACGGUUCAAAACCUGCAUUAAAUAAAGGUUAAUAGUUAACCUGUUAUUUAUCUAAGAUGUCGUUCCGAAGAGUUUUGUGACUGCCGAUGGAAUACAAAGUCAAUAAUUCGUUUUUCUGAUUUACCAAUCAUUGUCCAAAAGUCAGAUUGCCGCCUUUGAUAAUAGACGACUCAAUUAAUGUUUUGCUUUUGUUAAGUAUGUGUGUGUGUGCCUACGCAUACGGGGUAUUUCAACAAAUAUAGAACAGUGUGUUAACAGCAGGCAAGUGUUUCACUCGUGUAUCCCUCGUAUCUAACAGUGGCGACGAGGAAGAGGACAGGUCUGGGAUGGAGGGCAGCUCAGAAAGGGGGGGAGCUACCAAUUCUAAUGCUUGUGAUGAUAUUAGUUUACCGGUCGAAGUACCUCUCAUCACGUCACCGUCGCCGCAGCGGCAAGGUGUCGAGUUAGCAGAAGAGGAGGAUGAAUUUCUUGAGGCCCUACCAGACCCGUCUGUCGAAGAAGGCUCUGAUGGCAUACCCGCACGACAAAACGCCAGCAGACCUGAGUUUACAUCACGGAAUAAACGCAAUCGGCCUAGGGUUAACUAUAAGCAGUUUUUUUAGUAUAAGUUUCUUUUUUAAGUUUAGUAUAAUCUUUUGUUUUGUUUAGAGUAGUUAUGUACAUAUUAUAUCUAAGCUAAGGGGAGGAAUGUUAAGUAUGUGUGCGUGUGCCUACGCAUACGGGGUAUUUCAACAAAUAUAGAACAGUGUGUUAACAGCAGGCAAGUGUUUCACUCGUGUAUCCCUCGUAUCUAACAGCUUUUGUUAAUGUUUAUAAAUAUAGUGUGGUCUUAUUUUA
This is a long non-coding RNA of Bombyx mori (domestic silkworm), 4807 nucleotides long. RefSeq lists it as uncharacterized. The transcript is spliced from 2 exons. NCBI's taxonomy places the organism in Eukaryota, Metazoa, Arthropoda, Insecta, Lepidoptera, Bombycidae. The record is from RefSeq and is a predicted model, not a curated record.